Arabidopsis lyrata subsp. lyrata is the source of this 1271-nucleotide long non-coding RNA. RefSeq lists it as uncharacterized. Lineage: Eukaryota; Viridiplantae; Streptophyta; Magnoliopsida; Brassicales; Brassicaceae. The record is from RefSeq and is a predicted model, not a curated record. The transcript has 2 exons.
CAUGAAAAAUGAUGUCCAAACCUGCCCCGCCGUGGGCUACUUGGACAAAGCCCACGGGCUAUCGGCCCACUUGACACCUCUAAGCAUUUGGUUCUUCAAUGCUGUCUUGUGGUCUGACUAACAUAGAUCUGUUUGUUCUUGGUGAAGUUUUUCCUCUGUUUCACUGUUUGUUUAUUGUCCUUCUUCUGUGUUUUUAUCCUUUCUUGACAAAUAAUGUUCUUAUUAUAUGUCUAAAGAGAGCGAUUCCUCUCAACUUCGUGAAAAGUAUCUCGGACAAGGAGUUCUUGGCUAAAAUGGUGUUGAAAGUGUCAUGGACAAGGAGUUCUUGGCUAAAAUGGUGUUGAAAGUGUCAAUUAAAGUCUCAAGAAACUCAAGUUUCUACUACAUGGAGAAAAAGUUGCUGGGACAAGUUUUUGAGUGACAAUGGUUUAGGUAAUAACGAGUUUCUUAACUUCACACACAAAGGAAAUAUGUGCUUUAGCGUAGACAUCUUCCGAAUAGACGGUAAGGAGAUGCUUAGACGACGCAGGUCUGCAACUAUUGCUUCUUCAUGCUGUAACUGUCGGAACAUGAAGAAGGAGAAGACAAAGGUGGAAGAUGUUUCGUGUUCCAGAAUUUACCCUCACCAUAAAGAAAGCAUACCUCAUAUUCUUGGUAAGAAAAGAAAGAUUGGUUUAUAUAAAUGUGAGUUAUAUAGUCUAAUUUCUAAUAAGAAUUUAUGAUUUCGGGGGAUCCCGAAGAUGUUUGAGGAGAUGCAUAUGCCAAAGGAAACAACGAUGUUCAAGAUUCGUGAUCCGAAAGGGAAGAAGUCAUGGGAUGUUAUGUAUAAGGUCACUGCACUGGUACACAGUCAAGAUUCAUUGCUGGAUGGAUUCGUUUGGUGAAAGAGUUAGGUUUAGUGGUCGGAGAUGUUUGCACGUUCAAGCUCAUCAAACCGACCGAGAUGCUUCUCACAGUCUCCAAAAAGGGACUUCAUGCUUACCCUGUUGAGGUGAUCUCAGAUGAUGAUGAUGAUUCAAUCCGAUAGACAUCACAUCAAUCCCCAAACACAGAACCGAUGGAAGUUCUUAUCACCGGGGCGAAAAAAAACAUCCGAGGUUCUCUUCAGUUCAUAUAUGUCACCAAUGGUUUUCAUAGGAGAACCAAAUGCCUAAACUAAUUUUUUGUUGCUUCUCUGUUCCUUAAAGAGAAGAUCAAAAGAACAUGAUAUGUAUAGAGAAACAAUAAACUAAUAAAAGCAUAUAAUAAAUCCAUAUCAAGGUUUAGCUGUA